AACAUUGGACAAUGGGCGAAAGCCUGAUCCAGCAAUGCCGCGUGAGUGAUGAAGGCCUUAGGGUUGUAAAGCUCUUUUACCAGGGAAGAUGAUGACUGUACCUGGAGAAUAAGCCCCGGCUAACUCCGUGCCAGCAGCCGCGGUAAGACGGAGGGGGCUAGCGUUGUUCGGAAUUACUGGGCGUAAAGCGCACGUAGGCGGCCUUUCAAGUCAGAUGUGAAAGCCCCGGGCUUAACCCGGGAAUUGCAUUUGAUACUGUUGGGCUUGAGACCGGGAGAGGAUAGUGGAAUUCCCAGUGUAGAGGUGAAAUUCGUAGAUAUUGGGAAGAACACCAGUGGCGAAGGCGGCUAUCUGGACCGGUACUGACGCUGAGGUGCGAAAGCGUGGGGAGCAAAC
This 396-nucleotide ribosomal RNA is filed under the name uncultured bacterium. RNAcentral describes it as "bacterial SSU rRNA". It matches the Rfam family "Bacterial small subunit ribosomal RNA", at positions 360 to 773 of the family's 1533-position model. The record is from RNAcentral.